GACGAACGCUGGCGGCGUGCUUAACACAUGCAAGUCGAACGGAAAGGCCCUGCUUUUGUGGGGUGCUCGAGUGGCGAACGGGUGAGUAACACGUGAGUAACCUGCCCUUGACUUUGGGAUAACUUCAGGAAACUGGGGCUAAUACCGGAUAGGAGCUCCUGCUGCAUGGAGGGGGUUGGAAAGUUUCGGCGGUUGGGGAUGGACUCGCGGCUUAUCAGCUUGUUGGUGGGGUAGUGGCUUACCAAGGCUUUGACGGGUAGCCGGCCUGAGAGGGUGACCGGCCACAUUGGGACUGAGAUACGGCCCAGACUCCUACGGGAGGCAGCAGUGGGGAAUAUUGCCCAAUGGGCGGACGCCUGAUGCAGCAACGCCGCGUGCGGGAUGACGGCCUUCGGGUUGUAAACCGCUUUCGCCUGUGACGAAGCGUGAGUGACGGUAAUGGGUAAAGAAGCACCGGCUAACUACGUG
This 468-nucleotide ribosomal RNA is filed under the name uncultured bacterium. Its description in RNAcentral is "partial 16S ribosomal RNA". It matches the Rfam family "Bacterial small subunit ribosomal RNA", at positions 28 to 507 of the family's 1533-position model. The record is from RNAcentral.